UACGAAGGGAGCUAGCGUUGUUCGGAAUCACUGGGCGUAAAGCGCACGUAGGCGGAUGUGUCAGUCAGGGGUGAAAUCCCGGAGCUCAACUUCGGAACUGCCUUUGAUACAGCACGUCUUGAGUCCGAUAGAGGUGGGUGGAAUUCCUAGUGUAGAGGUGAAAUUCGUAGAUAUUAGGAAGAACACCGGUGGCGAAGGCGGCUCACUGGCCCGGUACUGACGCUGAGGCGCGAAAGCGUGGGGAGCAAACAGG
Molecule: ribosomal RNA, 253 nt
Filed under: uncultured bacterium
Lineage: Bacteria
Description: partial 16S ribosomal RNA
Rfam family: Bacterial small subunit ribosomal RNA
Source: RNAcentral